CUCGACUCUCCCACCCUUUGUGAACGUACCUCUGUUGCUUUGGCGGCUCCGGCCGCCAAAGGACCUUCAAACUCCAGUCAGUAAACGCAGACGUCUGAUGAACAAGUUAAUAAACUAAAACUUUCAACAACGGAUCUCUUGGUUCUGGCAUCGAUGAAGAACGCAGCGAAAUGCGAUAAGUAAUGUGAAUUGCAGAAUUCAGUGAAUCAUCGAAUCUUUGAACGCACAUUGCGCCCCUUGGUAUUCCGGGGGGCAUGCCUGUUCGAGCGUCAUUACAACCCUCAAGCUCUGCUUGGAAUUGGGCACCGUCCUCACUGCGGACGCGCCUCAAAGACCUCGGCGGUGGCUGUUCAGCCCUCAAGCGUAGUAGAAUACACCUCGCUUUGGAGCGGUUGGCGUCGCCCGCCGGACGAACCUUCUGAACUUUUCUCAAGGUUGACCUCGGAUCAGGUAGGGAUACCCGCUGAACUUAAGCAUAUCAAUAAGCGGAGGAAG
RNAcentral lists this ribosomal RNA (495 nucleotides) under Lasiodiplodia theobromae. RNAcentral's name for it is "eukaryotic LSU rRNA". The stretch from base 119 to 272 matches the Rfam family "5.8S ribosomal RNA". Lineage: Eukaryota; Fungi; Ascomycota; Dothideomycetes; Botryosphaeriales; Botryosphaeriaceae. The record is from RNAcentral.